GACGAACGCUGGCGGCGUGCCUAAUACAUGCAAGUUGAGCGCUGAAGGUUGGUCCUUGUACCAACUGGAUGAGCAGCGAACGGGUGAGUAACGCGUGGGGAAUCUGCCUUUGAGCGGGGGACAACAUUUGGAAACGAAUGCUAAUACCGCAUAAAAACUUUAAACACAAGUUUUAAGUUUGAAAGAUGCAAUUGCAUCACUCAAAGAUGAUCCCGCGUUGUAUUAGCUAGUUGGUGAGGUAAAGGCUCACAAAGGCGAUGAUACAUAGCCGACCUGAGAGGGUGAUCGGCAACAUUGGGACUGAGACACGGCCCAAACUCCUACGGGAGGCAGCAGUAGGGAAUCUUCGGCAAUGGACGAAAGUCUGACCGAGCAACGCCGCGUGAGUGAAGAAGGUUGUCGGAUCGUAAAACUCUGUUGGUAGAGAAGAACGUUGGUGAGAGUGGAAAGCUCAUCAAGUGACGGUAACUACCCAGAAAGGGACGGCUAACUACGUG
Molecule: ribosomal RNA, 497 nt
Filed under: uncultured bacterium
Lineage: Bacteria
Description: partial 16S ribosomal RNA
Rfam family: Bacterial small subunit ribosomal RNA
Source: RNAcentral